CUGGCCUAGAUUGGGUGGAAGUCUAGGCGUUGCACGGGACUACUGUCCGAGCUAGGAAGUGGCCCCAUGACACCCGGGGGGGCAAAAAACCCACCCCACCAUCCCCAACCCUUUUUGUCCUACUCUCCUACUGUUUUACAAUCAAGGAUAUUUGACGAUAAUGUUAUUUUCUUGCAAUCCCCUUGUCCAUUGGAUGCAACAGAGGUUGAAAACCCAG
This 217-nucleotide unclassified non-coding RNA is filed under the name Hevea brasiliensis (rubber tree). Lineage: Eukaryota; Viridiplantae; Streptophyta; Magnoliopsida; Malpighiales; Euphorbiaceae. The record is from RNAcentral.